Molecule: transfer RNA, 62 nt
Filed under: Strongygaster brasiliensis
Lineage: Eukaryota; Metazoa; Arthropoda; Insecta; Diptera; Tachinidae
Description: tRNA-Cys
Source: RNAcentral
AGUCUUAUAGUCAAUAAUGACAUUAAAUUGCAAAUUUAAAAGAGUAAAUUUUACUAAGGCUU